This 483-nucleotide ribosomal RNA is filed under the name uncultured bacterium. RNAcentral's name for it is "partial 16S ribosomal RNA". The record is from RNAcentral.
GUAGUUAGCCGUGGCUUCCUCCUUAGGUACCGUCAUUAUCGUCCCUAAAGACAGAGCUUUACAAUCCGAAGACCGUCAUCACUCACGCGGCGUUGCUGGGUCAGGCUUGCGCCCAUUGCCCAAUAUUCCCCACUGCUGCCUCCCGUAGGAGUCUGGACCGUGUCUCAGUUCCAGUGUGGCCGAUCAGCCUCUCAGCUCGGCUACCCAUCGUUGGCUAGGUGGGCCGUUACCCCGCCUACUACCUAAUGGGACGCGAACCCCUCCUUCUGCGGAUUGCUCCUUUGACCCCUGAGCCAUGCGACUCUGUGGUCUUAUGCGGUAUUAGCACUUGUUUCCAGGUGUUAUCCCCCUCAAAAGGGCAGGUUGUUCACGCGUUACUCACCCGUUCGCCACUAGCUAUAAAUCCGAAAACCUAUAGCCCGUUCGACUUGCAUGUGUUAGGCACGCCGCCAGCGUUCGUCCUGAGCCAGGAUCAAACUCUGA